RNAcentral lists this ribosomal RNA (848 nucleotides) under uncultured bacterium. RNAcentral describes it as "bacterial SSU rRNA". It matches the Rfam family "Bacterial small subunit ribosomal RNA", at positions 56 to 941 of the family's 1533-position model. The record is from RNAcentral.
UGCAAGUCGAGCGAGAAGGGAGCAAUCCUGAGUAAAGCGGCGUACGGGUGAGUAACACGUAGGUAUCCACCUCUUAGUGGGGAAUAACUCGGGGAAACCUGAGCUAAUACCGCAUAAGUCCGAGAGGAGAAAGCAGCAAUGCGCUGAGAGAGGAGCCUGCGGCCGAUUAGCUAGAUGGCGGGGUAAUGGCCCACCAUGGCGACGAUCGGUAGCCGGCCUGAGAGGGCACACGGCCACACUGGCACUGAAACACGGGCCAGACUCCUACGGGAGGCAGCAGUGGGGAAUCUUGCACAAUGGAGGAAACUCUGAUGCAGCGACGCCGCGUGGACGACGAAGCCCUUCGGGGUGUAAAGUCCUUUCGACCGGAACGAUAAUGACGGUACCGGUGGAAGAAGCUGCGGCUAACUACGUGCCAGCAGCCGCGGUAAUACGUAGGCAGCAAGCGUUGUUCGGAAUUACUGGGCGUAAAGAGUUCGUAGGCGGUGCGGCAAGUUCGGUGUGAAAUCUCCCGGCUCAACUGGGAGGGUGCGCUAAAUACUGCCGUGCUCGAGUAUAGGAGAGGUAAGCGGAAUUCCUGGUGUAGCGGUGAAAUGCGUAGAUAUCAGGAGGAACACCUGUGGUGUAGACGGCUUACUGGACUAUAACUGACGCUGANGAACGAAAGCGUGGGUAGCAAACAGGAUUAGAUACCCUGNUAGUCCACGCCCUAAACGAUGCAUACUUGGUGUGAGCCAUUCACUUGGUUCGUGCCGUAGCUAACGCGUUAAGUAUGCCGCCUGGGGAGUACGGUCGCAAGGCUGAAACUCNAAGGAAUUGACGGGGGCCCGCACAAGCGGUGGANCNUG